RNAcentral lists this long non-coding RNA (632 nucleotides) under Homo sapiens (human). RNAcentral describes it as "HSALNT0008004". Lineage: Eukaryota; Metazoa; Chordata; Mammalia; Primates; Hominidae. The record is from RNAcentral.
GGACAAGGAGUAGACUGGAAGCUGGAAGGAUUUCCUCCUCGCGAAACAAUUGGCCAGUGUGGAAGGCCAGACCAUCUGGGCCCAGCACAGAGGCUGCUUUCUUCCAAGAGGAAUGCUGAGCACAGAAACACCCUGACCCUUGGCUGUUCCAAUCCCUGUUAGGAUCCUCUGUUCCGGGGCCCUGGAGUAGGACCUGCAGAUUUUCAAACUAGAAGUGGAAAAGCUACUGAAGCAUCUUACAAGGUCCAUAAAAGCCCCGGGCUUAGCUAGAGCAAGAGAGGAGGGAGAGAACGGAGAGAAGAAGGCACAGGAAGACCAGCUGCAGAGAGGAGCUACCCUCUCUGCUGAGAGCUUCAGAGACCUGCAGAGACAUCCGGACUACCAGCUGCAGACAGGAGCAACCCUCUCCAGGGCCUCCUCUCUGCUGAGAGCAGCAGACGUCGGGAUAACCUGCCUACAGAAAGGAGCUACCCACUGUGGGUCUCCUCUGAGCCGUUCUAACACUUAAUAAAGCUCAUCUUCAUCUUGUUCACCCUUCACUUGUUUGCAUAUCUCAUUCUUCCUGGACACAGGACAAGAACUCAGGCUGGCCACAGAGGUUUCCAGCCAGAAAAUUGACACCUCAAAGAUUC